GAUGAACGCUAGCGGGAGGCCUAACACAUGCAAGCCGAGCGGUAUUGUUUCUUCGGAAAUGAGAGAGCGGCGUACGGGUGCGGAACACGUGUGCAACCUGCCUUUAUCUGGGGAUAGCCUUUCGAAAGGAAGAUUAAUACUCCAUAAUAUAUUGAACGGCAUCGUUUAAUAUUGAAAGCUCCGGCGGAUAGAGAUGGGCACGCGCAAGAUUAGCUAGUUGGUGAGGUAACGGCUCACCAAGGCGAUGAUCUUUAGGGGCCUGAGAGGUGAUCCCCCACACUGGUACUGAGACACGGACCAGACUCCUACGGGAGGCAGCAGUGAGGAAUAUUGGUCAAUGGGUGCAAGCCUGAACCAGCCAUCCCGCGGUGAAGGACGACUGCCCUAUGGGUUGUAAACUUCUUUUGUAUAGGAUAACCUACCCUCGUGAGGUAGCUGAAGGUACUAUACGAAUAAGCACCGGCUAACUCCGUGCAGCAGCCGCGGUAAU
RNAcentral lists this ribosomal RNA (490 nucleotides) under uncultured bacterium. Its description in RNAcentral is "bacterial SSU rRNA". It matches the Rfam family "Bacterial small subunit ribosomal RNA", at positions 28 to 524 of the family's 1533-position model. The record is from RNAcentral.